This 2190-nucleotide long non-coding RNA is filed under the name Homo sapiens (human). Its description in RNAcentral is "HSALNT0353420". The record is from RNAcentral. Lineage: Eukaryota; Metazoa; Chordata; Mammalia; Primates; Hominidae.
GCAAGGCGAGCUGCCACCAACCACAUCGAGGUUCCCGUACUGACGUGUCGAGGUGGUCGCAUCCCGGCGUAGAGGACUAGGAAUCGGGAGUCACUGGCCGUAUGCUGGAGGCUGGAGACGCGGGAGCGUGGCUUGCCUCGCUGCGGUUGUUGGCAGCGAUGGAGAUGGCGCGGCUGGAGAGUGCCAUCUGCUGCUGCCUCUGACUACUGCAUUUUCCCCCGUUUGCUUAGUCCACGCCCAGUGUGGUAAAAGAUGGGAAAGAGAAAGCCAUCCUCUCAUUAAAGUAAUUGGUCCGGCAUAUACUAAGCGUCAGGCACUUUUUUUUCAGACACUACAGAAAUAUAUCGACACAGGCAAAAUGUAUUUUCUGUACCCUAUAGUCUCACUUAAUAAUGGGUACAUUAGGCUGGGCACAGUGGUUCACGCCUAUAAUCCCAACACUUUGGGAGGCCGAGGCGGGUAGAUCGCCUGAGGUCAGGGGUUCAAGACCAGCCUGGCCAACAUGGCUAAACCCCGUCUCUAUUAAAAAUACAAAAAUUAGCCGGGCAUGGUGGCUCAUACCUGUAAUCCCAGCUACUCAGGAGGCUGAGGCAGGAGAAUCACUUGAACGUGGGAGGCGGAGGUUGCAGUGAGCCGAGAUCGCGCCACUGCACUCCAGCCGGAGACAGAACGAAACUCCGUCUCAAAAAUAAAUAAAUAAAUAAAAUGAUAGGUACAAUAAGUAACAUCAGGGGAUGAUAUCAAAGAAAAAUUUAACAUAUAAAAUGCAGAGAUACUGAUGGGGUGCUGUUUUAUACAGGGUGGUCAUGAAAGACCUUUCUGCUAGCUAUUUCUGAAUGUAGUGUAGGCAUUGAGCCAUGUAGAUGUCUGGGAGGAAAUUUUCAGGCCUAGGAUCAGCAAAUGUGGAGAUCUAGGAGGAUCAUUCAGCAGAGGGAACAGCAAAUACAAAGGUCCUGAAGUAGAAGCACAUGGGGCAUUUUCCAGGCUGUGGGAGGAGGUGGUGCCCGAAAGUAGAAUGAGGGAGUGAGGCGUUGCUGAUGGGGGCUGAAGUGGAAGCCAUGACCAGGUCAUGGAACAUUAUGUUGGCCACAGUGAGGACCCCGAAUUUUUCUAAGUGUGAUGGGAAGCUACUGGGCAGUUUUGAGCAGAAGAGUAUCACAAUCACAUUCAGAUUUUGAAAGAAUUACUCUGUCUGUUACGCAAAUAGCCAAGAGCAGAAGAGUAGACAAUGAUGCCAUCCUGAGGGCUAGCAAUGGAGGCGAAGGGAAGAGAUUCUGGGUUUUGGAUAUAUGUGAAGAGAACGCUGAAAGGAUUUGCGAGCAGGUUAAAUAUUGAGUGUGAAACAAACACAGAUGUCGAUGAUGCAGAGGUUUCGCCUGAGCAGUAGCGUGAAUGGCGGUGCCACUUUCUGAGACUGAGAAUCCUGCUGGAAAGCAGGUUUGGGGACAAGAACAAGAGUCUGGUUUUGGAUGUCGAUUUACUUUUGCAUUUUGAACCAACAUUGCAUUCUAGGAAUAAAUCCCAUUUGGUCAUGACGUGUAAUCCUUUUAAUGUGCUGUUGAAUUCAGUUUGCUGGUAUUUUGUUGAUGAUUUUUGCAUCAAUACUCAUUAAAGAUAUUGGUCUGCAGUUUUCUUGUAGUAUCUUUGGCUUUGGUAUAAGGGUAGUGCUGCACUCAUAAAUAUGAGUUUGGGAGUGUUCCCUCCCUCCUCUUUAAUUUUUUGAAAGAGUUUUAGGAGGAUUGGUAUUAAUUCUUCCUUAAAUAUUUGGUAGAAUUCUCCAGUGAAGUCAUCUGGUCCUGGGCUUUUCUUUGUUGAGAGGUUUUUGAUUAUUGAUUCAAUCUCCUUACUAGUUUUAGGUCUCUUUAGAUUUUCUAUUUCUUUAUGAUUCAGACUUGGUAGAUUGCGUGUUUGUAAGCUACCAAGAUUAUCCAUUUUGUUGGUUUAUAAUUAUUCAUAGUAGUCUCUCAUAAUUGUUUUUAUUUCUGUGGCAUUAGUUGUAAUGUCUCCUCUUUCACGUCUGAUUUUAAUUAUUUAAGCCUUUUCUCUUUUUUUCUUAGUCUAAGGAUUCAUCAAUUUUGAUCUUUUCAAAAAACCAAUUUGUAAUUUUAUUGAGUUUUCUCUAUUUUGUCUUCCAUGUAUUAUUUGUUUAUUUAUCUUAUUUUAUUAAUUUUUUAUUGAGGUGGAAUGUGG